Molecule: long non-coding RNA, 343 nt
Filed under: Pan troglodytes (chimpanzee)
Lineage: Eukaryota; Metazoa; Chordata; Mammalia; Primates; Hominidae
Description: long non-coding RNA NONPTRT017937
Source: RNAcentral
GGGAAAUCCUUUGUCCAGAGCUUUGGGAUCACUGGAUAUCUGAGCUGGGAGGGUCCUCAGAAAUUCUUACUCCAAUUCUCACAUUUGAUGGAUGGAGAAACAUAGCCCGGUGGAGGGAGAAGAGACCGGCUUGAACAUAUACAGGAGGAAAAAAAUGAGCAGAAACUGCUAACAUCUGGAGGCUGCUGUCCAGUUUACGUAAUCUCUUGCCGCAGAGGAGGAACACGGGAUCCCCAGCCAGAUGGUCCAUGGGUGACUUCACAGCACAUGUGCUACCUCCAAGAAUAUAGACACAUUUCCUCUAUCAAUGUGGUGCAGCUGGAUGAUCAAGACCCAUCAUCCC